CACUCCUACGGGAGGCAGCAGUAGGGAAUCUUCCACAAUGGGUGCAAACCUGAUGGAGCAAUGCCGCGUGAGUGAAGAAGGUCUUCGGAUCGUAAAGCUCUGUUGUUAGAGAAGAACACGUGCUAGGUAACUACUAGCGCCUUGACGGUAUCUAACCAGAAAGUCACGGCUAACUACGUGCCAGCAGCCGCGGUAAUACGUAGGUGACAAGCGUUGUCCGGAUUUAUUGGGCGUAAAGGGAGCGCAGGCGGUCUGUUUAGUCUAAUGUGAAAGCCCACGGCUUAACCGUGGAACGGCAUUGGAAACUGACAGACUUGAAUGUAGAAGAGGAAAAUGGAAUUCCAAGUGGAGCGGUGGAAUGCGUAGAUAUUUGGAGGAACACCAGUGGCGAAGGCGAUUUUCUGGUCUAACAUUGACGCUGAGGCUCGAAAGCGUGGGGAGCGAACAGGAUUAGAUACCCGGGUAGUCCC
RNAcentral lists this ribosomal RNA (470 nucleotides) under uncultured organism. RNAcentral describes it as "partial 16S ribosomal RNA". It matches the Rfam family "Bacterial small subunit ribosomal RNA", at positions 334 to 797 of the family's 1533-position model. The record is from RNAcentral.